CCAUUCCCAACCUCCAGUCUGUGGACUUUGAAGCUGUGGCAAUAACAGUGAAAGAGCUAGUUCGAUAUACACUCAGUAUAAAUCCAAAUAACCAUUCUUGGUUAAUUAUCCAGGCAGAUAUUUACUUUGCAACGAAUCAGUAUUCAGCAGCUCUUCACUAUUACCUCCAGGCAGGAGCUGUGUGUUCUGACUUCUUUAACAAGGCUGUGCCCCCUGAUGUUUAUACAGACCAGGUGAAUUGUUUUCGUGGGCUGGCUGGCUUCUUGCCUACCUGUAUAUGUUCUUCCUGGGCCCCCUUUUGGCUGAACUUACCCAUUUCCUUGUAAUGUGAUCGUAAGUCCCAGGUUCAUGGCUCUAGAACACAUCGCUCUGUGUAUUUUCAUUGUCCUUAUUUCUAGCACCUAUUGCUGUCUUGAUUCCCCCAAAACACCUCAAAUUCAACUUGUCCAAACUGAUUUGUGUCUGUCUUUACCAUAAAGUAAUAAACUCCUAAUACACUCCUAAUAAA
This 508-nucleotide small RNA is filed under the name Pan troglodytes (chimpanzee). RNAcentral describes it as "retained intron". The record is from RNAcentral. Lineage: Eukaryota; Metazoa; Chordata; Mammalia; Primates; Hominidae.